GACGAACGCUGGCGGCGCGCUUAACACAUGCAAGUCGUGCGGUGUCGAAGGCAAGUCUUACGACAAGCCUUCGACACAGCGGCGAACGGGUGAGUAACACGUGAGUAGCUGUCCUAAGGAGGGGGAUAACGCCUGGAAACGGGUGCUAAUACCCCAUAUGCCUCGCAAGAGGUGAAAGUGUACUUGCUACAGCCUUAGGGUGUGCUCGCGGCCUAUCAGCUAGUUGGUGAGGUAACGGCUCACCAAGGCUAAGACGGGUAGCCGGCCUGAGAGGGUGUACGGCCACACUGGAAUUGAGAUACGGUCCAGGACUCCUACGGGAGGCAGCAGUGGGGAAUCUUGGGCAAUGGGCGGCAGCCUGAACCAGCCAUCCCGCGUGAAGGAAGAAUGCGCUAUGCGUUGUAAACUUUCUUUUCCAGGAGAAUAAAAUGACCAUACGUGUAUGGUACUGAAGGUAUCCGUGGGAAUAAGCAUCGGCUAACUCCGUCGCCAGCAGACCGG
Molecule: ribosomal RNA, 501 nt
Filed under: uncultured bacterium
Lineage: Bacteria
Description: bacterial SSU rRNA
Rfam family: Bacterial small subunit ribosomal RNA
Source: RNAcentral